This 433-nucleotide ribosomal RNA is filed under the name uncultured bacterium. RNAcentral describes it as "partial 16S ribosomal RNA". It matches the Rfam family "Bacterial small subunit ribosomal RNA", at positions 29 to 507 of the family's 1533-position model. The record is from RNAcentral.
AGCGAACGCUGGCGGCAGGCCUAACACAUGCAAGUCGAACGAACUCUUCGGAGUUAGUGGCGGACGGGUGGGUAACACGUGGGAACGUGCCUUUAGGUUCGGUAUAACUCAGGGAAACUUGUGCUAAUACCGAAUGUGCCCUUCGGGGGAAAGAUUUAUCGCCUUUAGAGCGGCCCGCGUCUGAUUAGCUAGUUGGUGAGGUAAAGGCUCACCAAGGCGACGAUCAGUAGCUGGUCUGAGAGGAUGAUCAGCCACAUUGGGACUGAGACACGGCCCAAACUCCUACGGGAGGCAGCAGUGGGGAAUCUUACGCAAUGAGCGAAAGCCUGACGCAGCCAUGCCGCGUGAAUGAUGAAGGUCUUAGGAUUGUAAAAUUCUUUCACCGGGGACGAUAAUGACGGUACCCGGAGAAGAAGCCCCGGCUAACUUCGUG